RNAcentral lists this ribosomal RNA (466 nucleotides) under uncultured bacterium. RNAcentral describes it as "partial 16S ribosomal RNA". It matches the Rfam family "Bacterial small subunit ribosomal RNA", at positions 28 to 507 of the family's 1533-position model. The record is from RNAcentral.
GAUGAACGCUGGCGGCGUGCUUAACACAUGCAAGUCGAACGAUGAAGCCCAGCUUGCUGGGUGGAUUAGUGGCGAACGGGUGAGUAACACGUGAGUAACCUGCCCUUGACUCUGGGAUAAGCCUGGGAAACUGGGUCUAAUACUGGAUAUGACUUCUCAUCGCAUGGGGGGGGGUGGAGAGAUUUAUUGGUCUUGGAUGGACUCGCGGCCUAUCAGCUUGUUGGUGAGGUAAUGGCUCACCAAGGCGACGACGGGUAGCCGGCCUGAGAGGGUGACCGGCCACACUGGGACUGAGACACGGCCCAGACUCCUACGGGAGGCAGCAGUGGGGAAUAUUGCACAAUGGGCGCAAGCCUGAUGCAGCGACGCCGCGUGAGGGAUGACGGCCUUCGGGUUGUAAACCUCUUUCAGUAGGGAAGAAGCGAGAGUGACGGUACCUGCAGAAGAAGCGCCGGCUAACUACGUG